Molecule: long non-coding RNA, 501 nt
Organism: Oncorhynchus tshawytscha (Chinook salmon)
Lineage: Eukaryota; Metazoa; Chordata; Actinopteri; Salmoniformes; Salmonidae
Source: Ensembl
GAAUGUUUGACAUGUAAUUUCUUUGAUGCUUGCACAUGAAAGUAACAUAACAUUGGCUUAACAGCAGAGGCUGUAGUAAAAUGACAUGUUUCUAAUGCAUGGUUUAUCAGGUUAUUACACCUUUAUGGAAUUAAUGCUCAUAUAUCAUAGUAUACUGUAUCUAUUGACAGUAUAUCUCUGUUUUAUUCUUAGGACUUUGUUUGACUGCAAGCACUAAAAAAUGUUGUGUGGUGAUAUGUUACAGGUCCUUGAGGGAGAUGGAGGGAUAAAUAACUUUGUGUGGUGAUAUGUUACAGGUCCUUGAGGGAGAUGGAGGGAUAAAUAACUUUGUGUGGUGAUAUGUUACAGGUCCUUGAAGGAGAUGGAGGGAUAAAUAACGUUGUGUGGUGAUAUGUUACAGGUCCUUGAGGGAGAUGGAGGGAUAAAUAACUUUGUGUGGUGAUAUGUUACAGGUCCUUGAGGGAGAUGGAGGGAUAAAUAACUUUGUGUGGUGAUAUGUUA